Molecule: unclassified non-coding RNA, 384 nt
Filed under: soil metagenome
Description: partial contains 5.8S ribosomal RNA, internal transcribed spacer 2, and large subunit ribosomal RNA
Rfam family: 5.8S ribosomal RNA (bases 1-120)
Source: RNAcentral
GAUGAAGAACGUAGUGAAAUGCGAUAAGUAGUGUGAAUUGCAGAAUUCAGUGAAUCAUCGAAUCUUUGAACGCACAUUGCGCCCCUUGGUAUUCCAUGGGGCAUGCCUGUUCGAGCGUCACUACACACCUUAUCACAAUAUUUGUGGUCUUGGCAGGAGUGAAUUGCUGGUCUAUGGAAGUAUUCCAGCAGUACACAAUGCUAAAAAAUAUGGGAAGGUUACCAGAUAUGAACAACAGACUUUGUAAAUGGUUGUAGGACCUAGAUCAGUCACAAGUCAUGUCUGGUCCCUUACCUUAAGGACCCCCAUCCUAGAUGAACUAUGGGUUGACCUCGGAUCAGGUAGGAAUACCCGCUGAACUUAAGCAUAUCAAUAAGCGGAGGA